UUCUUGUUUCGGUCUAUACACCAAGUCUUGUGCCAUUAAAGACACUUUGUUGGUUUAUAGUAGUUCAGUCCAUAAAAAGCUUCUACAUAAUGCAGUUAUUUAUUUCAUCACGACCUUUGUUACUAUGAACAUAUAGGACCAGUAGAUAUAUAUUUGCAACAAUAUAGAGUUUAUCAACUAAGCUUCUAGCAUAUGUCAGGUGCUUUGAUCCCCAUUUACUGAUUUCUACUUUUCAUUUUGUCCAUCAACACUUCACAAUACACCAAAGAUAGUUUCUUAGUCGAUAUGGGCACUCCCAAAAAUCUGAAUGGUAACUUGCCUUUUACAUACCCAGUAAGUUGACAUAUGUCCUCCAACUUUCUCUUAUCCAUGUUUGCUGAGAAAAUGUUAGAUUUUGUAUCAUUGGUGGUCAAACCAGAGGUCAAGAAGAAAAGUCCAUACCUCUUAGCCUCAAUACCACAGACUGUAUGUCACUUUUGCUGAAAAUGAGUAGAUCAUCAACAAAGCAAAGGUGAUUUAGUCCUAGACUCCUGCACUUUGUAUGAUAAUUGAAUCCUUAUUGCUAUGACACCCAUUUAAUUAAUCUGGUAAAAUAUUUCAUGCAUAUGACAAAGAAGAGAUGAUAGAUUGGAUAUUCUUGUCUCAAUCCUCUUUGUCCCUUAAUACAUCCAUACACCCCACCAUUAAGAGUUAUAGAGUACUAUAGGGAUGUCACAUAUUCCAUUAUCCACAUUAUGAAUUUAGUAGGAAAAUUUAGUUCAUACAAUAACUCCUUGAUAAAGUCCCAUUCAAUAAAGUCAUAUGCCUUUUUAAGAUCAAUCUUAAUCAUGUAACUCUUUGUUGUGUUCUUCCUAUGUACAGCCUGAACAGAUCUUGAUAAAUUAAUAUGUUUUGUACUACGUAUCUCCCAAUAAUAAAAUCACUCUGGACUAUGUAUCUCCUAGCUAACCUCCUUUUCCAGUAUUCCUUGGUUAAUAGUCGUUUUCUUGUUUCAGUACAACAUUUCUAGGAUCUAGUUGUAACCUAUCCUGACAAUUAUGUAGCUUUUUCUCAACCUAUGUAUCCUGCACUUCAAUAGCAUUGGAUCUUUUCUGCUCAGCUUUGUGAGUGCACUCUUUACCCUAUUCAGCUUUUCCAUCAGUUGGUAUAUCAUGACCAUUGUAUAUUCAAUCUCUAGUUCUCCUCCACUUUUUCCUGAAAAGCUGGAGCUAAACUCUAAAUAUUGAGGUAUUUGAACUGCCUCUAUGGUGGUUGGACAUGCUCCUCCCAUCUUUUGAUUGCUGGGCUAUGGUAAUAUAUUCCUUCAUUCAUAAAAUAUACCACUAAAGUAGGUAAUCAUAGAUACCAUUCCAAGUUGACCAAUACCCUAUCAAUUUUACUCAUCACCCUAAUUUCCCAUUCUUGUUUAUUUGUCCAGGUAUAGUAGCAUCCAGUUGACCUCAACUCUUUCAAACCAUAAACCAUAACAUAAUUCUUGAAUUCCUAACUUCUAUAGCUGUGAGUAGUCUGCCUACUUUAUUGCCAGGAUUUAAUACAUAAUUGUAAUCACCUAUUACUACCCAGGGAUUAGUGAUCUAUUUAUAUAACCAUUGUAAAUUCUCCCACACAUCCCUCAUUUGAUCUUGGAUAUUAAAACCAUAUAUGAAGGUUAUCCCCAUCAUCUGUCCAGUCCCCUUCUGUUUAAACUUACAAUAAAUCAUCUGAUCUAUCAUACUCUUUAUAUCCACCUCAAAUCUAUUAGGUUUUCAAACUACUUGUAUUUUCCCUUUUAGGUGGGCUAAAAAAUUAGUUAUAACAGACCAUCCAUCACAAAGUUGAAGACAAACUCUCUAAUCUUUGUCUUUACUCACCCUUAUUUCUUGUAAUGGCCUAAUUUUCUAUGUGUUUUGAUAAUUUUUUCUUUUCCAUAGUUGUUACAUAUUGAUUUUUAGGUUUGAAGAUGGUUUACAUAAUUUCUGAUGCAAUCGAGAAUGAGUUGUGCGAGUUGUAAGUUUUUAGAGGCUUGAGAAGCCAUAUAGUUGACUUUGGUCAACAUUUGUUGUUCUGAAUGUAGGAUGGAAAAAUAGACUAUGCCAACAGAUCUAGAAUUAUCAAAUUUGGGUUAGUAGCAGGGUUAGUUCAGAUUUGAAACUUUUAUAUCUCAUUUCGACCAUUCAUUUGAAAAAUAGUAAAAUAGAGUCUCAAAGGAUAAUUUAUUGAGAACAAUAAUUUUUCAAAAAUUUGACAUCACUAUUGAGUCCAAAACAUCAAAAUUAGCCUAGUAGUAUGUCUAGUUUUCUUCUAUUUGUCCCGAAUGAACUUUGAGGGUCCAUUUGGUGAUAAUUUUAACUUGGCUUCUACUACUGGUGUAGCAAUUUCUGGUGCAUCAGGCCCUUUAUCAUGAUCAUAUGAACAUGUGUUGUAAUUGUGGGCCUUGAUGAUUCCCUUCAUCGUGAUUGUGUUGUGGUACCGCGAUCAUAAUGAGUAUUCAAAUGGACCGAGUCGAGUUGACUCAUCGCGAUUGUGAGGCCCAGAUGCGUGAUUGUGAUGACCAACCUUAUUACCAAUCAAUGUUGACCCUAGAAAUUAUGAGGGAGGCCUGCAAUCGUGAGGCACUGUUCAUUGAACAAUAUAAAAGUCUUUGUUUGCAGUUACUCUAUUUUUGGACCUCUAAGCUUCGGGAUAGUCGAUUUUUGAGGGUUUCAACGUUGAUUUUUAUGUAGGUAACUUCUAAACUCAUAAUUCCUAUAUUUAUUAUUGAUUUUAUCUCCAAAAACCCUUAAAUCAUGAUUUCAAAAUGAAAAAUUGGAGGUUUUAUCGAUAAUAUUUAAAAAGGGUUUUUCUUAGUUCUUAACCUCAAUUUUAAUUCGUUUUGACAUGGGUUUUCUCCUGUAGACUCCUAUAACCUUGGGGAGUGUGUUUUGAAAUAAAAUUCUAAUUUUACCUCUUUAAUUUUCAAAUACAUGUUGGACUCGGUCCGAAUAUGGGCAUCAUUAGCUUUUUUUAAUGCGUAGAUGUUAUUUUGAAUGUUGUAGUUGAUUUUUAGGCUAUUCACAAGGGAAAGGUCUCGUGUUGGGGCAUUUUAGAUCAUGGUUUUAUCGUUUUAAGGUAGAUUAUAACUUAAUUGCUUUCAGAUUAAGUUGGAUAGUUAAUAUAUCAAUAAAGUAUGAUAUGGGUUAGAAAAAGUAACUAUGGAGAUUAUUCUUAUUGUUGUGUGCUCGUGUGGAGGCUUAUAUUCUGUUUUUGUUGACUUGUGGUAUCUUAUAUUUGUGUUGCCUAUGUAGGGGCUUUAUUUUAAAUCAUUGGCCUUAUCUAUGCAUCAAUAUUCCUUCAUUCUAGAUAUAAUGCCCAUACAGUGAAUUAAGUUUAUAAUAUUGGCCUUAUUUGAGUAUUGAUUGCCUUUAUCAUGAUAGUUAUAUUCGAAUUUGGGGUUGAUAUGAUAUAAAUAAUAUCUUUUAUGCAUAUUUAUUUCAUAGUUCCAAACAUUGAGUUAAUAAUCAUGAAUUGAGGACAUAUUGAGUUGAUUUUUUGGGCUUGCGAUAUAUACUUUUGUUUUGAUUGGAUUGGAUAUCCUCAUUUUAGGUUAAUUAUGAGCAUUACAUCCUCAUACCAUACAUAUACAUUCAGGAGAUACUGGUACCACUGAGAAUCACUAUUUUUGAAAGAAAAUUAGACAUUUUUAUGAAAACCCUCUUCGUGAACACGAGAUGUAAAGGAUAGUUGAGAUUGAGAUUGAUAUUGUGAUAUGAGAUGCAGUAUAUGGGUUGCGAACCCCCCAUGGGUCCUACUUAGUAGAUGCAAGAUUGGUGGGUGUAUAUGAAAAGUCAUGCGACAACCUCCAUUACUCAUCCGAUACCCAUUGUAUUGCAUUACAUUUAAAUUUGCAUCUUGCUUGUUUCCCUUAGUUUCAUUGACUUGUGUUUGGUUGCCGUGUACUUCUCUUUUUUGUCGUGUCAUUACUGUUUUUUGUACAUUUAUAUGUUAGUUAGUAAAAAUGAUGUGAGCUACAGUUUGGGACUUUUCUGCUUGCAGGUGACGUGCUCAUACUAUAUUUUACGUAUCUUAUUUUCUACUUUGCUCAGUUGGCUGAUGAUACCUAUUAAGUACAAGUGGAUCAUACUCAGACUUACUGUGCCUUUUCAGUAUAGAUCCUAGCAUAAGUACAAUAUGAAAAGGUUGAGAUUGUGUCAUAAUAUUUAAGGACUGGAUUGUUCUAGUGUUUAGGGCAGAUUUUUGGAUCUCACUCUAUCUUACUUAUGUUUUUAUUUGAAUCAAAGACAGAGUUUUGUACUUUUAGUUUCGAAUUUGUACUUAUAUUGCUC
Molecule: long non-coding RNA, 4301 nt
Filed under: Capsicum annuum
Lineage: Eukaryota; Viridiplantae; Streptophyta; Magnoliopsida; Solanales; Solanaceae
Description: long non-coding RNA (CANN_LNC012741)
Source: RNAcentral